AGUUUGAUCUUGGCUCAGAUUGAACGCUGGCGGCAUGCCUUACACAUGCAAGUCGAACGGCAGCACGGGAGCUUGCUCCUGGUGGCGAGUGGCGAACGGGUGAGUAAUGCAUCGGAACGUAUCCUGGAGUGGGGGAUAACGUAGCGAAAGUUACGCUAAUACCGCAUAUUCUGUGAGCAGGAAAGCGGGGGACCUUCGGGCCUCGCGCUCUUGGAGCGGCCGAUGUCGGAUUAGCUAGUUGGUGAGGUAAAGGCUCACCAAGGCGACGAUCCGUAGCAGGUCUGAGAGGAUGAUCUGCCACACUGGAACUGAGACACGGUCCAGACUCCUACGGGAGGCAGCAGUGGGGAAUUUUGGACAAUGGGGGCAACCCUGAUCCAGCCAUGCCGCGUGAGUGAAGAAGGCCUCGGUU
This 412-nucleotide ribosomal RNA is filed under the name bacterium enrichment culture clone ALO1_GLFRUDD03GRT2K. Its description in RNAcentral is "bacterial SSU rRNA". It matches the Rfam family "Bacterial small subunit ribosomal RNA", at positions 10 to 424 of the family's 1533-position model. The record is from RNAcentral.